RNAcentral lists this long non-coding RNA (937 nucleotides) under Ricinus communis (castor bean). RNAcentral describes it as "long non-coding RNA (RCOM_LNC002292)". The record is from RNAcentral. Lineage: Eukaryota; Viridiplantae; Streptophyta; Magnoliopsida; Malpighiales; Euphorbiaceae.
UAGUUGCAGGAGGAAUAGCGUAACUUAAGCCAGUAUUUACUGCUAAUUCAUGCAAAUUCCUUUCAUAAGAGAGAUGUGCAAUCCAGCUACGAAGAACCUUCUUAUCUUGAAACCAUAUGCAUUAAUUUGUGAUGACUUCUUAUCCACUGAAAACAGGGAACUUGUCUCAUCGUCUUAAAACAGAGUUUCCACAUAAAUACAACCUUUGAUUCAUGACAUUUAUUAUCAAAUAUUUUACUAGAAAUUAAUGGAUGAUUCACCAUUCUUUUAUUCUGUUGUACUAUAUAUGAGCAUAGAUAUUAAUUAAUGCUUCGUGUUGCGUUUAAUCUUUGAGCAUUCCUUCAAGCAGCUUUUGUGCUUCAGCUUCAUCUGUCAUAUAAAGAGAGAGUGUUAUCUAUUGUCAUGUGUGAAUAUUUCUAUAGAGAAACCAACUGGGUUGGAUGCAGUUAAUUUAAUACCGGAGUUACUUUAAAAAUUAUAUCAUAUCGAGUUCGGAUUCCGGUCGAAAUCAAUUAAAAGAAAAAAUAACUUGAUACUUAAUCUGUUUGAUCUAUCUGUACUUUCUUCAAAUGCUAAUUAAUGAAUUUAAUAGGGUAUAUGAGAUGACAUACUAUUAUUUUCUUUUUCUUUAGAAAGAGAAAAAGGAUGGAAAGGAAGAGGGUUACCAUGGGUGAAUUUGGCAUGGUUUGGCAAGUGUCCAGAACAUUCUUCAUCACAAUAAUCUGUGCACAUUUGUGGCAUCAAAGUCUUUUUGUUAUCGAUGCAAGCCAUGUAACAAUUCGUAUAACAACGCCGAAACUCAUCGUUUCCCCUGCCCCAAAUUUCUAAAUCUGCAAUUGCUUGCCCCGACAAUACUAUAAGUAGCACCAUCGCUACUGCUAUAGUACCAUUAACCCUACCUUUUCCCUCCAUUUUAUUUUUCCUAUAUUACUUGUCG